AACAUUCUGACGGCAACUUGUCAAUCAUCGCAACCGCAAGCCAUGACAUCGCCACAAUUACAAUUUACACCAUGCGGUAGCGCGCCGUACUUAUCCUAUAGAGCACAGCACAGCAUCUGUCGCGAGAGAAUUUCGGUCGUGAGACGGCCGCCUCGCGCCAAACCAAGCCAAGCCUCACUCUAUUAUAAACUCCGGCGGCGCUGCGUGCUUCGAGCAGCCAGCGGGUGGCAUAGGUUGACGAGGACAAAGUCCACGGCGUUCAUCCAUCGUCCUCCAUGGCGCCGCAGCACUUCCUGGUCGUCGCGUUCCCGGGCCAGGGCCACAUCAACCCGGCGCGCGCUCUGGCGGAGCGCCUCGCGCGGGCCGCACCGGGCGCGCGGGUCACGCUCUCGGCCGCCGUGUCCGCGCACCGUCGCAUGUUCCCCUCGAUCGCGUCCCCCGACGACGAGGUCCACGACGGUGUUAUCUCCUACAUCCCCUACUCGGAGGGCUACGACCACGGCUUCAGCCUCUUGGCUGGCGACGGGGACGAAGUGCAGAGAUACGCGGAGGUGUUCGGCCGCGUAGGUCGCGUGACCUUCUCGGCGGUGCUGGACCGCCUCGCGGCGCGGGGCCGGCCCGUCACGUGCGUCCUGUACGCCAUGCUCAUGUGGUGGGCCGCCGAGGUCGCCCGUGAGCGCGGCGUGCCCCGGGCGCUCUACUGGAUCCGGCCGGCCACGAUGCUGGCCGUGUACUAUCACUACUUCCAUGGGUACGAGAGGCUCGUGACGGAGCACGCUGCCGAGCCGGGGUUCACGGUGUCUAUGCCGGGCCUCCCUCCGAUGGUGAUCCGUGACCUCCCGAGCUUCUUCACCAACCUUACGGACGGCAGGAUAGUCGCGACAUUCGGGGACAUCCGCAGUGUUAGAAAUAGAGAUAGAACUACCUAUUGUAAUCUCAACAAACUCUAUUCUUUCUCUCUUCCGUAGCUUAUCUCCUCCUCUCUUGUAACAACCGAAUCGUGAUCGAUCGGUAUUGCCUUGUAAGCCACGACAGGGGCCGUUCCUGUCUCAUAUCAAUAUAAACCAACGCGGCUUCUCAUUGAGGAGUAGGAACGCUUCC
RNAcentral lists this ribosomal RNA (1101 nucleotides) under Triticum aestivum (bread wheat). RNAcentral describes it as "partial small subunit ribosomal RNA". Lineage: Eukaryota; Viridiplantae; Streptophyta; Magnoliopsida; Poales; Poaceae. The record is from RNAcentral.